CCACAUACAAAUUUAUACCCACACUCCUAUUCGCCCGUACACACAUAUCACCCACAUAAAAACUCACAUACAAACACUCCCAAACACAAACAAACACACACACACACUCACACAAACAAAAAAACAAAACACACACACACACAUGUAUACACACAAAAACCCAUCCACACAUACAUACACAUUAACACAUAUAUAUUACAUACACAAACACACAUAGUACACACACAAACAAACACACACACACACACACUCUCACACACAAAAACACAUACACAAACACACGUAACUGUAUAAACACAGACGCAUACGCACUCACAUACACACAUAUUACCCACACAAACACAAACACACAUGCAUACAUGCACACACACAAACAAAGACACACAUAAACACACGCACAUAUUACAUACACACACA
This 417-nucleotide long non-coding RNA is filed under the name Vigna radiata. RNAcentral's name for it is "long non-coding RNA (VRAD_LNC017462)". The record is from RNAcentral. Lineage: Eukaryota; Viridiplantae; Streptophyta; Magnoliopsida; Fabales; Fabaceae.